UAUGAACGCUAGCUACAGGCUUAACACAUGCAAGUCGAGGGGCAGCAUAUUUCUAGCAAUAGAGAUGAUGGCGACCGGCGCACGGGUGAGUAACACGUAUCCAACCUGCCUUAUACUCGGGGAUAGCCUUUCGAAAGAAAGAUUAAUACCCGAUGUUAUAGUCUAACCGCAUGAUUUGACUAUAAAAGAUUUUCGGUAUAAGAUGGGGAUGCGUUCCAUUAGGCAGUUGGCGGGGUAACGGCCCACCAAACCUACGAUGGAUAGGGGUUCUGAGAGGAAGGUCCCCCACAUUGGAACUGAGACACGGUCCAA
This 312-nucleotide ribosomal RNA is filed under the name uncultured bacterium. RNAcentral describes it as "bacterial SSU rRNA". It matches the Rfam family "Bacterial small subunit ribosomal RNA", at positions 29 to 334 of the family's 1533-position model. The record is from RNAcentral.